CGUGCCAGCAGCCGCGGUAAUACGUAGGGCGCAAGCGUUGUCCGGAAUUAUUGGGCGUAAAGAGCUCGUAGGCGGUUUGUCGCGUCUGCUGUGAAAGCCCGGGGCUCAACUCCGGGUCUGCAGUGGGUACGGGCAGACUAGAGUGCAGUAGGGGAGACUGGAAUUCCUGGUGUAGCGGUGAAAUGCGCAGAUAUCAGGAGGAACACCGAUGGCGAAGGCAGGUCUCUGGGCUGUUACUGACGCUGAGGAGCGAAAGCAUGGGGAGCGAACAGGAUUAGAUACCCUGGUAGUCCAUGCCGUAAACGUUGGGCACUAGGUGUGGGGGGCAUUCCACGUUCUCCGCGCCGUAGCUAACGCAUUAAGUGCCCCGCCUGGGGAGUACGGCCGCAAGGCUAAAACUCAAAGGAAUUGACGGGGGCCCGCACAAGCGGCGGAGCAUGCGGAUUAAUUCGAUGCAACGCGAAGAACCUUACCAAGGCUUGACAUCCACCGGACCGCGCCAGAGAUGGUGUUUCCCUUCRGGGUCGGUGGACAGGUGGUGCAUGGUGUCGUCAGCUCGUGUC
This 563-nucleotide ribosomal RNA is filed under the name Kocuria sp. RNAcentral's name for it is "bacterial SSU rRNA". It matches the Rfam family "Bacterial small subunit ribosomal RNA", at positions 504 to 1066 of the family's 1533-position model. The record is from RNAcentral. Lineage: Bacteria; Bacillati; Actinomycetota; Actinomycetes; Micrococcales; Micrococcaceae.